ACACGGAGCUUGCUCUGUGGGAUCAGUGGCGAACGGGUGAGUAACACGUGAGCAACCUGCCCCUGACUCUGGGAUAAGCGCUGGAAACGGCGUCUAAUACUGGAUAUGUGACGUGACCGCAUGGUCUGCGUUUGGAAAGAUUUUUCGGUUGGGGAUGGGCUCGCGGCCUAUCAGCUUGUUGGUGAGGUAAUGGCUCACCAAGGCGUCGACGGGUAGCCGGCCUGAGAGGGUGACCGGCCACACUGGGACUGAGACACGGCCCAGACUCCUACGGGAGGCAGCAGUGGGGAAUAUUGCACAAUGGGCGAAAGCCUGAUGCAGCAACGCCGCGUGAGGGAUGACGGCCUUCGGGUUGUAAACCUCUUUUAGCAGGGAAGAAGCGAAAGUGACGGUACCUGCAGAAAAAGCGCCGGCUAACUACGUGCC
RNAcentral lists this ribosomal RNA (426 nucleotides) under Microbacterium sp. Its description in RNAcentral is "bacterial SSU rRNA". It matches the Rfam family "Bacterial small subunit ribosomal RNA", at positions 71 to 509 of the family's 1533-position model. Lineage: Bacteria; Bacillati; Actinomycetota; Actinomycetes; Micrococcales; Microbacteriaceae. The record is from RNAcentral.